AGCAGCCGCGGUAAUUCCAGCUCCAAUAGCGUAUAUUAAAGUUGUUGCAGUUAAAAAGCUCGUAGUUGAAUUUCGGGACCAAUAUGUCGGUCGUGCCUCGGUACGUACUGGUGUCAUUGGUUUCUCUCUUCUGAGGAUCCUUGAUGUCAUUAAUUUGGUGUCUUGGGGAAUCAGGACUGUUACCUUGAAAAAAUUAGAGUGUUUAAAGCAGGCAUACGCUUGAAUACAUUAGCAUGGAAUAAUGAAAUAGGACGUUCGAUUCUAUUUUGUUGGUUUCUAGGAUCGACGUAAUGAUUAAUAGGGAUAGUUGGGGGCAUUAGUAUUCAAUUGUCAGAGGUGAAAUUCUUGGAUUUAUUGAAGACUAACUACUGCGAAAGCAUUUGCCAAGGAUGUUUUCAUUAAUCAAGAACGAAAGUUAGGGGAUUGAAGACGAUCAGAUACCGUCGUAGU
This 450-nucleotide ribosomal RNA is filed under the name uncultured Glomeromycotina. Its description in RNAcentral is "SSU rRNA". It matches the Rfam family "Eukaryotic small subunit ribosomal RNA", at positions 569 to 1024 of the family's 1831-position model. Lineage: Eukaryota; Fungi; Glomeromycota. The record is from RNAcentral.